CUAGGGAACACUGACAAACACUGAGGGAUAACCCUCAAAGCUGCACUACAUGUGCAAUCGAUAAAGGAUCUCAGCCAGACAGCAUGUUUUAUAUUCAUACAUUCACUUGCAGAGAAUAAACCGACUGGAUAACUAAACAUGCUGACAGCCGAGCCUUUCCUCGUUCCCGAUGUGAAAGAAGUUGGUUACUUUUGAUAAGUACAUUGAUUCAGAUAGCAAAUACACAAGCCAUGGCUGUGAUUUGAAUCCAGGAUCUCCUGUUCACUUGGCAGGCCUGAUAGCCAAAAACCCACAGUAACCCCCUCCCAGCGUAACAGCAGAGCAAACUUUACA
Brienomyrus brachyistius is the source of this 333-nucleotide long non-coding RNA. RefSeq lists it as uncharacterized. The record is from RefSeq and is a predicted model, not a curated record. The transcript is spliced from 3 exons. Lineage: Eukaryota; Metazoa; Chordata; Actinopteri; Osteoglossiformes; Mormyridae.